RNAcentral lists this ribosomal RNA (253 nucleotides) under uncultured bacterium. Its description in RNAcentral is "partial 16S ribosomal RNA". It matches the Rfam family "Bacterial small subunit ribosomal RNA", at positions 524 to 776 of the family's 1533-position model. The record is from RNAcentral.
UACGUAGGGCGCAAGCGUUAUCCGGAAUUAUUGGGCGUAAAGAGCUCGUAGGCGGUUUGUCGCGUCUGCCGUGAAAGUCCGGGGCUCAACCCCGGAUCUGCGGUGGGUACGGGCAGACUAGAGUGAUGUAGGGGAGACUGGAAUUCCUGGUGUAGCGGUGAAAUGCGCAGAUAUCAGGAGGAACACCGAUGGCGAAGGCAGGUCUCUGGGCAUUAACUGACGCUGAGGCGCGAAAGCGUGGGGAGCAAACAGG